Molecule: ribosomal RNA, 555 nt
Filed under: Pezizomycotina sp. JK2
Lineage: Eukaryota; Fungi; Ascomycota
Description: SSU rRNA
Rfam family: Eukaryotic small subunit ribosomal RNA
Source: RNAcentral
GGAAGGGGUGUAUUUAUUAGAUAAAAAACCAAUGCCCUUCGGGGCUCUUUGGUGAUUCAUGAUAACUUUACGGAUCGCAUAGCCUUGCGCUGGCGACGGUUCAUUCAAAUUUCUGCCCUAUCAACUUUCGAUGGUAAGGUAUUGGCUUACCAUGGUUUCAACGGGUAACGGGGAAUUAGGGUUCGAUUCCGGAGAGGGAGCCUGAGAAACGGCUACCACAUCCAAGGAAGGCAGCAGGCGCGCAAAUUACCCAAUCCCGACACGGGGAGGUAGUGACAAUAAAUACUGAUACAGGGCUCUUUUGGGUCUUGUAAUUGGAAUGAGUACAAUUUAAACCUCUUAACGAGGAACAAUUGGAGGGCAAGUCUGGUGCUAGCAGCCGCGGUAAUUCCAGCUCCAAUAGCGUAUAUUAAAGUUGUUGCAGUUAAAAAGCUCGUAGUUGAAACUUGGGCCUGGCUGGCGGGUCCGCCUCACCGCGUGCACUCGUCCGGCCGGGCCUUCCUUCUGAAGAACCUCAUGCCCUUCACUGGGCGUGUUGGGGAACCAGGACUUUUA